AUUGAACGCUGGCGGCAGGCCUAACACAUGCAAGUCGAACGAGGGGCGGACGGGUGAGUAAUGGCUGGGAAACUGCCCGAUGGAGGGGGAUAACUACUGGAAACGGUAGCUAAUACCGCAUACCAUCGGAUGUGCCCAGAUGGGAUUAGCUAGGAGUUGGGGUAACGGCUCACCUAGGCGACGAUCCCUAGCUGGUCUGAGAGGAUGACCAGCCACACUGGAACUGAGACACGGUCCCGACUCCUACGGGAGGCAGGAGUGGGGAAUAUUGCGCAAUGGGCGCAAUCCUGAUGCAGCCAGGCCGCGUGUAUGAAGAAGGCCUUCGGGUUGUAAAGUACUUUCAGCGAGGAGGCGUUACUCGCAGAAGAAGCACCGGCUAACUCCGGGCCAGCAGCCGCGGUAAUUC
Molecule: ribosomal RNA, 406 nt
Filed under: uncultured bacterium
Lineage: Bacteria
Description: partial 16S ribosomal RNA
Rfam family: Bacterial small subunit ribosomal RNA
Source: RNAcentral